RNAcentral lists this unclassified non-coding RNA (363 nucleotides) under uncultured Gemmatimonadaceae bacterium. Its description in RNAcentral is "contains 16S-23S intergenic spacer region". The record is from RNAcentral. Lineage: Bacteria; Pseudomonadati; Gemmatimonadota; Gemmatimonadia; Gemmatimonadales; Gemmatimonadaceae.
UCCCCUUUUGGGGGCAGUCUGGUAUGAUAGAGGCAACAUACCACGGGGGUUGCGCUCGUUGCGGGACUUAACCCAACAUCUCACGACACGAGCUGACGACAGCCAUGCAGCACCUGUGCGCGAUCUCCGAAGAGGGGCUCUCGUUUCUGAGAGCUUGCUCGCGCAUGUCAAGCCUAGGUAAGGUUCUUCGCGUUGCGUCGAAUUAAACCACAUGCUCCACCGCUUGUGCGGGCCCCCGUCAAUUCCUUUGAGUUUCAACCUUGCGGUCGUACUCCCCAGGCGGGGUACUUCCUGCGUUAGCGCCGGCACCCAGAGGGUCGCUCCCCCAGGCACCUAGUACCCAUCGUUUACGGCGUGGACUAC